This 135-nucleotide microRNA precursor is filed under the name Hordeum vulgare. RNAcentral's name for it is "microRNA MIR1122". It matches the Rfam family "MIR1120/MIR1122 microRNA precursor family". The record is from RNAcentral. Lineage: Eukaryota; Viridiplantae; Streptophyta; Magnoliopsida; Poales; Poaceae.
AAAGUACUCCCUCCGUCCCAAAAUUCUUGUCUAAUAUUUGUUUAGAUACGAAUGUAUCUAGUCAAAUUUAGUAUUUAGAUACAUCCAUUUCUAAACAAUGCUAAGACAAGAAUUUUGGGACGGAGGGAUUAUCAU